Podarcis lilfordi (Lilford's wall lizard) is the source of this 4708-nucleotide non-coding RNA. NCBI's taxonomy places the organism in Eukaryota, Metazoa, Chordata, Lepidosauria, Squamata, Lacertidae. The record is from the annotation of a GenBank genome assembly.
UCAAAGCAAUGAAGAUGAUGCCUCCCCAGCUGUUGCCAUUGGCUGUGGGUUUCUUGUGAUGUCACAAAAGCACUUGGCAACUGUGUGGAUAUAAAGGCAGGCCAAGGGGAAAGCCCUUUUUUAUUUCCAACAGGACACACCUGGCAAGGGAUAUGACAUUCAGCACUGCCCAGGUUUCUUCCACUUGAAGGAGGCAAAUUGGUGAAUGGAAGGAGGCAAUCCUCUGGCAGUGGGAUGCUAGGGAGCGAUAAUAAGGCAAGUUUGCUUGCUUGAAGGCUGCUGGUAUCCAUGGUUGGAAGCUGGUGGACGUCUCAUGAUGGACCUAAGAGAAGCUGGCAGUUGUUGGUGGAUGGAACCAGUAGCUUUUGGAUUUGGAAGUUGGUAGAGGCUACAAGGCUAAAGCAGACUGAUGUUGGUGGAUAUUGGCUGAUAGAAGUUCACCUUUGGAAGACAGUCAACAGAAGCCAGUGGAUAUUUGUGGACUGAAGCCAGGGCACGAACAUGAAUGGAUGUCAUGUUUUUGGAUGUCGACUGGUACCGGUAUAUGUUUGUGUGAGUACAUGGGACGUUUCAAAUGUGGUUGAGGCAGAAUGGUGUUUGCAUGUUCAUUAAUGUGAUGUGUGAAAGAAUAGAUGAAACCCAUGGGAGGAGGAAUAUAGGUUUCAGAGAAUUAGAGCAUCAGAGAAUCAAGUUUGGGAGGGACCGUGAGCAUCAUCCAGCCCAACCCCCUUACAAUGCAGGAAUCUUUUGCCCGACUUGGGCCUCAAACCCAUGACUUUGAGAUUAAGAGUAUCAUGCUCUACUGAUUGAGAACCUCAUUUCAUUAGACUUGAUUUUUUUUUAAAAAAAAUGUAGAGUAUGAUGUAUAAAUAUGAAUGCGGAUGUCCAGGAAGUGUUGAAAUUCAGACCUCCUCACAAACAACAAGGAGCCUAAGGAACCGUCUAGAAUCAGAGGAGCAACAGGGAGUAAAAAAAUAUACAAAGAGAUCAAUCAAUUUAGACCUAGAAACAAGAAUGUGUGUUUUUUAAUUAUCUUAUGGAGACUGUGUGCGGGUUAGGUUUUGUAUUUCACAUUCUCUCCUCAGGCUUCGAGGGACGCAUGAAAGAAACUACUGUCUGAAUUUGUUUGUGAUAGUCACUUGAAGGGCUUCUGACAGAAGUCUGCACUUCUCUCUAUUUCUACAUUUAUUUACAAAGCUAAAUUGGGUCCUCAAGGGACCUAUUUAUACCCAUGCACGUAACCCAGAGCUUCCUCCUUUGGCGUGUGCAUUCGGAACACCCGCCCACCUCUCCCUACUUUUAGGGCUUUGCGCUUGACCUUGCUAUGCCGUUGUGUGUCGUCUGUCAUUGGGACAGGAGCACGGCAGGAAUUUUCCCCACUUGGCUGAUUGGCUGGUGCCAUUUGGGUUUCGCCAGCUGCAUAGCAAAUCGUCACAACUUGUAAGAUUGUGGAUAGGCUCUGGUUCAGGUGACAGGGAUGGGAGAACGCUCUCGCCAUCCCUACGUGAAGGGUAUUCCGUUAAAGGAAUCCAGGGACUCGAUGGUUUGUUCAACCCCUGAGAGGGGGUUGUGCCCGUGCCUGAGUCUAGGGGGACAUCUGGGUGGUGGACAUAGCCUUUCCGCCUAUCCGGGUGUUCACCCUAGGCUGACCUAUGCUGGUGCCCUGGGUCAGCGCUACCUGCAAGGCAGGGAGCUAGUCGAACCAGAGCCUAUGAAACCACUCACUUGCUGCAAUCUAUAAAGUUGUGGCCUAAAUUCUCCCAAAAACCAAACCAAAAUUUGAGUCUUGACUGAAUUUAUUUAAGGGGGAGGUUUAAAGGUCUGAACAUGCAAAAGCAUGGCUUUGUCUCUGCUGUGGCACCCAAGCCAAUUGUUGAAUCAGAAUUACGGAGGUGUCUUAGAGGUGGAGCACUCCAGUACCAAUCAACAUUCUCUGUCCUUUUACUCACACCGGCAGCCAAACAGUGAACAUUGAAUAGUCCACUGAUUGGUGGCCAAAACAUUAAUAAAAAACAAACAAACACUGAGAGCUGUAAUUACAGACUUUGCCCAGAAUGUCUGUGUUCCUGGAGUUCGGCUUUUAAUAUAUACAGUUUACAUCAGUAUCUUAAGGUUUCCAGAAUGCACUCCAAAAACCAGACCACAUUCUUAAAAGACCCCGGGACCUAGUAUAGCAGGAAUAAUAAUAAUAAUAAUAAUAACAGAAGCAAAGCACUGUUUUAUUUUUCAAAAGAGUUCCCUGCAAAUGUCAAUUCAUCUCUUUUCUCCAGUGUCUAUUUUUUUUAAAUGAUAUUUAUUCCAAGUUUAAAGUUACCAAAAAAGAGAAAGAAAAACCAUACAAAAUACAAAGAAAACUUUAACCAUAACAAAGCGAAAAAUAAAAAGAUUAAAGUAAACAAUAAAAUAGAAUAAAAAAGAAGACUUAACAAAAAAUAUAAAAAUGCAUUAAGUUAAAAUAAAGCAAAAACAGAUUAAACCUUUACAUAGCCUUUUCCCUUUACUUAUUUCCAUGACUUCCUCUCACCUCCCAAUUUUGUAUUCUAGUUCAGAUCGUAUUUCCAGCAAAUCCUUCUAACCUUAUUUUCAUUUACGUAUUUUAAAUUAAAAUAAUAUAAUUAAACCUCCUCUGUUUCGUCAAUUUCAUCAACUCAUUUUCUCAUUUUCUCCAGUGUCUAGUGCAAUUAACGGGCCUUCGUCAUGCACAUAUAAGUAUUUUUUUAUCAUAUGCAUGAAGUUGGUUGUAACAUGUGGGUUUUUUUCUAUUGGGUAUUUGCUUUUAAAAAUGUAAAAAAAAAAAGUUCUCUUUGUUCCUAAUACAUUUUAUGGAUUUCAAGAAAACAAAACAGAGCAGCUUUGAAUUAAACAUACGUAACAGAAUCCAGUCACAGAUUAUAGAAUACCCGGUACAGAAUCAGACUAGAUCACAGCAGGUAAUUAAAUUUUCUUAGAAGAGUUGCUACCUGUUUUGUGUGUUUAUUAUUGUUCCGCAACAGCCUUUCCUACUGCAAGUAAUAUCAGCCAGUCAUUGAGGGCAUGUCUGACAAAAACUAUAGCUGACACCUCACAUGCUUCCAGGAAUACAGCUGUAAUAUAGACUUGAUGUUUGAGUCGGUCAUCAUUUGCCUUUCAGUAUUUUAAGUUUUGGAACUCAGUCUGGCAGAAUCUCUUCAUCUGGGUUGCCCUGGUAACCAAUGCCAAGAUAGCUUUUCCUUUAUUAACAAUACUUUCCAACUUGAUUUAUCACUAGCCGCCAUCUCCAAUUUAGUAUAUGAUAUCCCAAGGUUGGUCCUAUCAAAUUAGAAAAGAUUUUUCAUUCUACAUAUGGUUGCUUUCAUUCUCGGCUGCUCGUAAGAUCUGGGUCAAGAUAAGAGGGAAAUAAUAAAUUUUAAGAGGCUUUAGCAUGAAAAUGUAGGGUAGGGUCUCUAAUGUUAGCCAUAUUCACUGUAGACCCAUUAAAGCUAUUAGGCAUGACUAACUUAGAUCUAUUAAUUUUAAUGAGUCUGAUCUGAGCAAAAUUUAAUUGGAAUAAAAUGUAUGGCCAUAGCCACUCAAAGCUUACAGGGUGGGCAUGAAUUUAUCAUAUGAAUUUCAACCUGCAUCUUAUCUCUACCUGUUGCAGUAUUUGACACAGAGGCUGCUAGUGAAGAACUGUAAUACUACUACUACUACUACUACUACUACUACUACUACUAAUUUAUUUAUACCCCGCCCAUCUGGCUGGGUUUCCACACUCUGGGCGGCUCCCAGUAGAAUUAAUGAUGAUGAUGAUGAUGAUAAGGCGAUAAAACAUCAGACAUUAAAAGCUUCCCUAAACAGGAUUGCCUUUAGGUGUCUUCUAAAAGUCAGAUAGUUGUUUAUUUCCUUGACAUCUGAUGGGAGGGUGUUCCACAGGGCAGGCACCACUACCGAGAAGGCCCUCUGCCUGGUUUCCUGUAACCUCACUUCUCGCAGGGAGGGAACCGCCAGAAGGCCUUCGGCUCCCUGUAACCUCACUUCUCACAGUGAGGAACCGCCAGAAGGCCCUUGGAGCUGGACCUCAGUGUCUGGGCUGAACGAUGGGGGUGGAGACGCUCCUUCAGGUAUACUGGGCUGAGGCCAUUUAGGGCUUUAAAGGUCAGCACCAACUCUCUGAAUUGUGCUCGGAAACACAAUGUGAACUCAUCUUUCCCACAGUUGAUGAAAUAGCCCUAAUAGUAGUAGUAGUAGUAAUAAUAAUAAUAAUAAUAAUUUAUUUGUACUCCGCCCAUCUGGCUGGGUUUCCCCAGCCACUCUGGGCGGCUUCUACAAAGAAGAACACCCCCCCAUUGUUACAAUGGCAUUUAAUGAUGUGUUUUUCAAAUGUUUGUGUUUUAAGGCACAGUGGCAGAACCAGCUUUGUUUAAAUAUUGGCAAUCUUAUUAUUUGGAUAGGAAGCAUCUCCCGUUCUUCAACAUUUCCUUUGUGACUCUGUCUUCGUGCUUUAUAGAGAGACAAAUGGGCAGCAGUGACUGAAGACUCAUUGCUCACAAGCAAAUGCAGAGAAAGGAGGAUUACACAAAGGCCUAAAAUGGGUGGCCAUCAUUUCAUGUCAUCGUAGCAAGGGGGGGGGGGAGAGAAGGAUCCGUUAAAAUGAUCUCUCUUUGGAUCUAAAUGCAGAAGAAAGUGGUUCAUUUUACUCAUUAAAAAAAGAAGCAUACUUUUCAGAUAUAUACAUUUCACUGAUUUUACA